AUAAAAUAAAGCGAUAUUAAAUUGCAUUCAGUUUCGACCUGAAUUUAGAAAAAUUUCUAUUUUUUAAU
RNAcentral lists this transfer RNA (68 nucleotides) under Dermacentor silvarum. Its description in RNAcentral is "tRNA-Arg". Lineage: Eukaryota; Metazoa; Arthropoda; Arachnida; Ixodida; Ixodidae. The record is from RNAcentral.